GGCAACAGGUUUACCACCUUGUAGCCUGAUCUCUUUAGCUCUCAGAAGCUAAGCAAGGCUGGCCCUAGACAGUACUACAAGGACAAGAAAUAUUCAAGGCAAACUAGGUUGCUGUUACAA
This 120-nucleotide ribosomal RNA is filed under the name Lepisosteus oculatus (spotted gar). Lineage: Eukaryota; Metazoa; Chordata; Actinopteri; Semionotiformes; Lepisosteidae. The record is from RNAcentral.